RNAcentral lists this ribosomal RNA (466 nucleotides) under uncultured bacterium. RNAcentral's name for it is "bacterial SSU rRNA". It matches the Rfam family "Bacterial small subunit ribosomal RNA", at positions 28 to 507 of the family's 1533-position model. The record is from RNAcentral.
GAUGAACGCUGGCGGCGUGCAUAACACAUUCAAGUCGAACGGUGACGAGGACUUCGGUCCUCUGAUCAGUGGCGGACGGGUGAGUAACGCGUGAGCAACCUGCCCUAUAUUGCGGGAUAACAACCGGAAACAGUUGCUAAUACCGCAUAAUGUACACGGAUCGCAUGAUCUGUGUACCAAAGCUUUAUGUGCUGAAAGAUGGUCUCGCGUCUGAUUAGCUAGUUGGUGAGGUAACGGCUCACCAAGGCGACGAUCAGUAGCCGGUCUGAGAGGAUGAACGGCCACAUUGGGACUGAGAUACGGCCCAGACUCCUACGGGAGGCAGCAGUGGGGAAUAUUGGGCAAUGGGGGAAACCCUGACCCAGCAACGCCGCGUGAAGGAAGAAGGCCUUGGGUUGUAAACUUCUUUUAGUCAGGGACGAAGAACGUGACGGUACCUGCAGAAAAGACAACGGCUAACUACGUG